GCCGCCGUAACGUAGAGGCUUAGUGAGCAUGCAAAGCCGCGCAUCCUGGUAGCGUACAGACAUCCACACCUAUAAGGAUGGUAUAAGCCUGUGGAGCCUGGAGGCCGGGUUCAAAUCCCGGCGGCGGCC
This 129-nucleotide transfer RNA is filed under the name Candidatus Bathyarchaeota archaeon. RNAcentral describes it as "tRNA-OTHER". Lineage: Archaea; Thermoproteati; Candidatus Bathyarchaeota. The record is from RNAcentral.